AGUGUUGAAGCACGUUGAAGUGUCAAUUCUGUCGGCAGUUGGUCGGGCAGACUUUAUAAAUAUCAUUAUAAAUAGUUUUUCCUCAAGUUGGUGGUGAUCUCAAAUGCAUAAUCAUCCAUUUCCUCCCAUACGCUACACGGGGAAGCGCCGUGAUCGAGCGCCGGUUGUACGCUUCUCCGCCUUUUCUACUGGAUUCAGCUAAUCGGGGUCAACCUUGGGCCAAGUGAUAUGCUUCCGAAGGUGAAAUUGUUGAGUGGACAUCCGUACGGAAGAGGUCGUAUAAACGCAGCUUAUGUAUCCAGUGUCCUGCACUCGGUAAUGGCGGUGAGUGUGGCAAAAUAUGUUUUGAUAUGAUUAUGAUAGCUAUAUUAGGCAAUAAAUUAAAUAUAUAACAGAUACUUUUUCG
Armigeres subalbatus is the source of this 406-nucleotide long non-coding RNA. RefSeq lists it as uncharacterized. Lineage: Eukaryota; Metazoa; Arthropoda; Insecta; Diptera; Culicidae. The transcript is spliced from 3 exons. The record is from RefSeq and is a predicted model, not a curated record.